GAGCCGUCUCAGAGGAGGCAAAGUCAUUUUUUCUGUCGUCUUUCUCCAGCAUUGCAGCUAUUCUAAACAAGCCAAAUUGGAAUAAACGCUCCAUGACACUACUCACCACCUUGUGUUUUCAUAGGGGCGGCUGCCUAACAGUUUACACUGAACUAUUUAACACUAGCCUAUUUGCUCUGACAGCUCUUUUAUUACAGAUGACCACCCCAGGCCUUGGGAGGUUCAUUUUGUCCAAUAUUGGUUUCAUUUGGGUAUGAUCAUUGUGUUCGGAGUUGUUUACUGAGCAGACUGCUGCUAACCUCCUCCUAUCGUUGAUUGCCUACCAGAAGAAGCAGUCCAGCUCAGUUUCCUGGUUCCAAGAAAGAGAAUUCAGCAAGAGGAGGGUCAAAUUACCCCAAACUCCAGAUCAUCUCUAUCAACAAUGUCAUAUGUGUCCAGGAAAGAGAAGCUUUAUUGUUUGUCUUGCUCUGUUUUCUGAAGCUAAGAAGACAAUUGCUUCCUCGCAAACAUGGACAGAUUAAAUACACUACAUUCUGUCCUUUUCACCAUCUGCUUCUUGCUUAUUUUAUUUUAAGCUGCAUGACUAAACUUUAUUAUCUGACGGACGGGUGAAGGUGGGCCCUGCUGCUGCUGUGCUCUACUCCUUGAGGCUUGGAAUGAAUGCAAAGUUGCAGGGCUGAUCUGCAAAGGGAGAACAAUAUCCAAGUAAUGUUUUGGAAAACGGAAACUCUAUAUUCCUGACUUCCCUUCCUAGGGAGUGGGACCCAGGGACAGCUGCAAGGAUCUGCAGGCACUUUCUAGGCUCCCCUUGGAUUGUUUACUUUCCUCCAGAAGCCAGAAAAGGAAAAGAAAAUAAAGCAUUGUAAUAUAAACAAAGUGUGUAGUGAAGAUUCUGGAGCCUGCAUGAUGUGGGAUGUGACUACAGACUUAAUGCAGAAGUAGACAUGGGACUCCAGCUGUCUCCUAUCAAGAAAGACUUCAAAAACAAACAAUCAAA
Homo sapiens (human) is the source of this 997-nucleotide long non-coding RNA. RefSeq lists it as uncharacterized. The record is from RefSeq and is a predicted model, not a curated record. The transcript is spliced from 3 exons. Lineage: Eukaryota; Metazoa; Chordata; Mammalia; Primates; Hominidae.